This is a long non-coding RNA of Salmo salar (Atlantic salmon), 2776 nucleotides long. RefSeq lists it as uncharacterized. The record is from RefSeq and is a predicted model, not a curated record. Lineage: Eukaryota; Metazoa; Chordata; Actinopteri; Salmoniformes; Salmonidae.
GCCAGGUCGCAGUUGUAAAUGAGAACUUGUUCUCAACUGGCCUACCUGGUUAAAUAAAGGUGAAAUAAAAAAAUUGUAUGACAGGGCGACUUAAUAAGAGGCUAGAGGACUGGAGAGUUCUGGAGAUGAAGGAAUAUUGAAAUUAUACAAUACAACACAAUACUGAGUACCACUCUCCAUAUUUUCAAGCAAAGUGGUGGCUGCAUCAUGUUAUGGGUAUGCUUGUAAUCGUGAAGGACAGGGGAGUUUUUCAUGUUAAAACAGAAACGGAAUGGAGCUAAGAACAGGCAAAAUCUUAGAGGACAACCUGGCUCAGUCUGCUUUCCACCAGACACUGUCAGAUUAAUUCACCUUUCAGCAGAACAGUAACCUAAAACACAAUCCAGGUGUGGAAAACUUUUAGAGACAUACUCAGAUAGACUCACAGCUGUAAUCUCUGCCAAAGUUCUACAAAGUAUUGACUCAAGGGUGUGAAUACUUAUGUAAAUUAGAUAUUUAUACUAUAUAUUUUAUUUCUAAAAACAUGUUUCCACUUUGUCAUUAUGGGGUAUUGUGUGUAGAUGGGUGAGAAAAAACAUGUUUAAUAUAUGUUUAAUAUAUUUUGAAUCCAACCUGUAACACAACAAAAUGUGGAAUAAGUCAAACUCGAUACCAUUACAGAGUCACAGAGCAUUGCUGCGAUAGCUGAGUGUGAUGUUUACCUAUAGUGCAGGGCUACACAGGUAUUUAGAGUUUCAAAUGUUACAAGGAAAUGGAGCAGGGAAAUCUGUUAAGUCGCUUAAUCAUUGAUUAACCUUCCUGAACAUUCCAAAUCCCUCAAUUGUUUUUGCCCAGUGAAUGCUAAAAUGAACAUGGACACUAGCAAAUUACACUGGGGACAUCAAGAAUAUAAUCUUGGACAGUAUCAGCUCAAGCACAGUGAGUGGGAUUUCUUUCCUUUGAUACCUAGUGAUAUUAUCAACUGCCUGAAGCUAUUUUAGCACAGUGGUUAGAGGUUCAAAUAAUGAAUGUCUCUUAAUACUUUAUCUUUCUAAAAAUGGACUGUAUUGUAAUACUGUACUGUAGGUUUGUAAACUUUGCAAAUAGACGACCUGUCUUUUAUCAACCGAAUCAGACUUUUUCAAGUGUUCUGAUUUGCAAUGCCUUUUCUACUGAGAGUAUAUGAAAGAAUCUCGCCACUCACGUACUAAUACCACUUGAAACGAAGUGCAGCUCUUAUGUAGUUUAUGUUUUUUACCACCUCCCACCCCAACGUCCCAAAGCACGGCCUGGUCCACCUCCUGCUCUGCCAGCAGAGAGCAGUGUUUGAGAGCAAACACAGGAAAGUCCCUACCAGUCACCAUCUCCACUGUAGCCUUCUACAUAAUCAGAAAUUAUAGAAGAGAAGGUGAGUCGCACAGUUAAGUGAUGUGAAUCUACAACCUCUUAGUUUAGGGACCAUUCCAAACUGGGUCUUUUUGACAAUCACUCAUACAGUAGGACAACCAAUCAGUCUUCAGGCUAUUUUGGAGUCCAACCCACUGCCAGUCAUCAUCCAACAAAUAACGCCACUCGUUCUGCCGUGGCUGUCAGGAGGUCAUAGGCUGGACACUGACAAUCACACGCACCUAUGAGGAGCAGCUCUUAAUGGGCUUUCCUUUCAGCAGCAAAGGUAUUCAUGGCUUGAAUUCAUUUUAAAGAAAUCUGAUCUAUCAUUAGUUGAAACCUGCUCUGAAUGUAACAGCAGGUCAUUUGUAUGGUGACCUCAAAUAUGUAUACGUUUGUCAUAUAGCCUUUUACCACAAAUAGUGAGAACUUUGCAUUUGAGUCCAAAAGAAUGCAGAUUUAGUCUCCGAGAACUUAUUAUGUGUUGUUGUUAUGCAGGAAUCCUCUCCAGACACACUCCUCUGGUGCUGCCCAUGUAUAUGAAGGAGGUGCAUAGUGCACUGGCAGAGGGGUUGGAGAGAUCGAUGAGCUGGGCCACAGGAACAUUUUAUCUUUCAAGAUAUCACCGUUUUCAAUUAGAGUUGAUUGAAAAGGGUCACAAAUAAAUGGAGGGGAAGCCAAUCUACAUGUACAUGAGCCUGAAGAUCCAGGGUGAUGAAAUCAACCUCUACCAGCACCUUGACUAUGAGACAACGAGCCUCCUGCUUUACAGAGAAAAGCAGCAAGACCCCCACCUCUACCGCCUAAACCACAAUAUUUACAAAUAGCUAGACACAAACUUCCAACCCUUUCUUCAUCAUUGGAGAACAAUUCCCAGUCCUACUCUGGUGGCUCUUGGCACCCACUCUUCUGCUCCUUAGCAGAGGUGCCCUCUAAUCUAGUGUGUGGCACAGGUGUGCUCCAGCCUGCGACUGCUCAACUUGGGCUAGUAAUGCCAGGCCUUUGAGAGGGAGAAGAUUGAUGGGGACGUGUUGAACACAGUGGAGCCCAGCAUGAUGAGGAAGACCCUGGGUAUGGGGUACCUGCACGUGGAGAAGCUGCUCCGCUUCCAACAUGGCUGGAGGCCCUUACUUAGGUCCUUUGGAGCUGAGCAGGUUGGGUAGUAACGGAUUACCUGUAAUGGGGAUAUGCAAUCAGAUUAUAAAAAUUACAGGGGCAAUCUGGGAACCAAAAACCAAUAAAGUGGUCAUCCUGCCACUUUUUUGGUAACCAGCUGCAUUUUUUGGUAACCAGCUGCAUACAUAAAAGGACAUUUUGGAAAAAUGUAUUGCAUAUUUUAUGUUAGGCUAAGUACCAUUUACAUUGGUAAUGGUUGAAGUGUCAUUCAAAAUAAAGGUUACUUUUGAAGCAA